This 431-nucleotide ribosomal RNA is filed under the name uncultured bacterium. RNAcentral describes it as "bacterial SSU rRNA". It matches the Rfam family "Bacterial small subunit ribosomal RNA", at positions 29 to 506 of the family's 1533-position model. The record is from RNAcentral.
AUGAACGCUGGCGGCAUGCCUAACACAUGCAAGUCGAACGAGACCUUCGGGUCUAGUGGCGCACGGGUGCGUAACGCGUGGGAAUCUGCCCCUCGGUUCGGAAUAACAGUUAGAAAUGACUGCUAAUACCGGAUAAUGACGUAAGUCCAAAGAUUUAUCGCCGAGGGAUGAGCCCGCGUAGGAUUAGCUUGUUGGUGGGGUAAUGGCCCACCAAGGCGACGAUCCUUAGCUGGUCUGAGAGGAUGAUCAGCCACACUGGGACUGAGACACGGCCCAGACUCCUACGGGAGGCAGCAGUGGGGAAUAUUGGACAAUGGGCGAAAGCCUGAUCCAGCAAUGCCGCGUGAGUGAUGAAGGCCUUAGGGUUGUAAAGCUCUUUUACCAGGGAUGAUAAUGACAGUACCUGGAGAAUAAGCUCCGGCUAACUCCGU